This 446-nucleotide ribosomal RNA is filed under the name uncultured soil bacterium. Its description in RNAcentral is "bacterial SSU rRNA". It matches the Rfam family "Bacterial small subunit ribosomal RNA", at positions 26 to 518 of the family's 1533-position model. The record is from RNAcentral.
AGAACGAACGCUGGCGGCAUGCCUAAUACAUGCAAGUCGAACGAACUCUUCGGAGUUAGUGGCGCACGGGUGCGUAACGCGUGGGAAUCUGCCCCUUGGUUCGGAAUAACAGUUGGAAACGACUGCUAAUACCGGAUGAUGACGAAAGUCCAAAGAUUUAUCGCCAAGGGAUGAGCCCGCGUAGGAUUAGCUAGUUGGUGAGGUAAAGGCUCACCAAGGCAACGAUCCUUAGCUGGUCUGAGAGGAUGAUCAGCCACACUGGGACUGAGACACGGUCCAGACUCCUACGGGAGGCAGCAGUAGGGAAUAUUGGACAAUGGGCGAAAGCCUGAUCCAGCAAUGCCGCGUGAGUGAUGAAGGCCUUAGGGUUGUAAAGCUCUUUUACCCGAGAUGAUAAUGACAGUAUCGGAAGAAUAAGCCCCGGCUAACUCCGUGCCAGCAGCCGC